AGGAUUUUAGUUUAAUCAUAAAACUUUAAUAUUGCAUAUUAAAAAUAAAAUAAAUUUUAUAUCUUA
Molecule: transfer RNA, 66 nt
Filed under: Cephalonomia gallicola
Lineage: Eukaryota; Metazoa; Arthropoda; Insecta; Hymenoptera; Bethylidae
Description: tRNA-Ala
Source: RNAcentral